Long non-coding RNA from Daphnia pulicaria, 596 nucleotides. RefSeq lists it as uncharacterized. The transcript is spliced from 3 exons. The record is from RefSeq and is a predicted model, not a curated record. NCBI's taxonomy places the organism in Eukaryota, Metazoa, Arthropoda, Branchiopoda, Diplostraca, Daphniidae.
AGAGAGCGUCUCCGACACGGCAACAACUGCAGCGCACUACAGGUCACCAAAUGCCUUCUUCAUCGUAUUACAUCAGUUCGCAAUCAUGGUCAACUAUGGCGUUGUGGUGCUGUCGGGUGUUGUAUCGUUGAUGGCUGCGUCGACCACAGGUGUACUGAUGUCUUCUGGGUAUGGUGGAUACCAAGCAACAGCACCGAAAGAAGACUACACCACGUGACCGCCUCACUACAAAAAAAAGGUUAACGUACGCAACACCUACUUACUACACCGAGGCCCCCAACUAGUACACCACCGAGGCUUCAGAGUAUUACACGAAAACUUAUGCUGCCCCGAGCUACUACAUCGAAGCCACCAAGUAUUACUCUGCCCAGAGAAAUAUCACCAAAGCGCUUGAGUACUAUACCGAGGCUCAAGUUCAUUACACCACUAAAGCUGUCGAAUACUACACCGAAGCGCCCAAGUACUACAAUGCAACAUACACUGCCCCAGCUUAGUACACCGAGGCAGCGGAGUACUACUACACCACCACCACCGAGGCAGCGGAGUACUACUACACCACCACCACCGAGGCAGCGGAGUACUACUACACCACCACC